This is a long non-coding RNA of Ictalurus punctatus (channel catfish), 2483 nucleotides long. The record is from Ensembl. NCBI's taxonomy places the organism in Eukaryota, Metazoa, Chordata, Actinopteri, Siluriformes, Ictaluridae.
CUCCGAGUCCGCGGCCAACCUGUGCUGCAACCUCCGGGUUAAUGUAUCCGCUAAUUUCAUUGGGAAAACAGGACGCCACCAUCUCUCUGUAUGCUUGGGUGUGUGUGUGUGCGUGUGUGUGUGCGUGUGUGUGUGCGUGCUUUCAUAACGCGUUGAGACAUAUUUUGACAUGAAAACUGCCAUCAGAUGCUCUUCAUUCAUUCAUGCAUUCAUGUGCAUAUACUGUAUGUGAAGUAAUACAAAAAAAAGACCAAACUAUAAACUAAUAUCCAAUUAAAAUAAUAAUGUUUGCUAUUUAGGGCGCACAGUGGCUUAGUGGUUAGCUCAUUGGCCUCCAGGGUCAGGGGUUCGAUUCCCGCCUCUGCCUUGUGUGUGCCGAGAUUGCAUGAUCUCCCUGUGCUGCGGGGGUUUCUUCCAGGUACUCUGGUUUCCUCCCCCAGUCUAAAGACAUGCAUGGUAGGCUGAUUAGCGUGUCCAUAGUGUCCAUAGUGUAUAAAUGUGUGUGUGAUUGUGCCCUGUGAUGGAUUGGCACCCUGUCCAGAGUGUACCCCGGCUUGUGCCCGAUGCUUCCUGGGCUCCAGGUUCCCCGUGACACUGUAGGAUAAUUGGUAUAGAAAAUGGAUGAAUGGAGGGAUGUUAGCUAUUUAUUCAAAAUAUUGAUAAAAUUCUAAUUCUAAGAUAUAAAAUAAUGCAUAAGCCACAAUCCAGUAAUUGUUUCUUAUAUUCUGUAAACCACACAGCUAGUUUUUUUUAUUUAUUUAUGAAUUAAUACCAUUUAUAAAAUAAUGUGUGUGUUAUUGUCACUGCAGGAAGAAAGCUCUAAAAUAGCUGAAUAUGAUGUCAUGUGAGUCACGUACACUCUCCACAUUAAAGGUGCCAUCAAGGAGACAUGUUCUGCACAUCGUUUACCUGGAAUCCUUUAAAAAAUAAUUGAAGGAACAUAACUGGACCUGAAGGACCACUAUGUUAAAAUUAAUUAAAGUGUACAUCAUGCAAUUUCUCUGUUAAAGAUACGUAUUACAGGCACAAAGCAUGUCACCUUGAUGGUAUCACUCUAGAGAAAAUGGAAAGUACAACUUCUAAGAGUGUAGGCACUAAAUAUUCAUCAAAUGAAUAAUGGAAAAUAAGUAUAAGUAUUUAAAAAAAGCAUAAUUUAAUCCCUAUUACGUUAUAUUAUCUCUAUAUUAUUAUCUAGACUGCUUUAUCUGUGCCAUGCCUGAGGGCUGAGAGUUCCAUAAAUACUCUCACAAGACAAAACGACACAAGAGAUGAAGAUUGUCAGAUCAGUUCGCUGUGAAGAAAAGUGUGUGUGAGAUGGACUCAUCAGCAGGAAAAGGAGCAGCAGAGAAUAAGAGAUGAGACGACAUGAGACGUUUGUGUGGAGUGUUUUAGAUGACAGAGGAUGAACUCUGUGUGUGUGUGUGUGUGUGUGUGUGUGUGUGUGUGUGUGUGUGUGUGUGUGUGUGUGUUUGGCUCCAGGAGCUGAGAGCGAUGAGAAAGUUCCAGAAAAUCUCACAUCUGUAGCAGCAGGGAUAGAGCUGAGCACACAGGUGAGAGAGAGAGAGAGAGAGAGUUAUUUCCUGUCUAUGAGAAAAUCCUUUGAGUGUGUUCUCCUCUUUCUGUCACACACCCCCAUAGAACACACCCUCUCUCUCUCUAACACACACACACACACACACACACACACACACACAGAAAUACACAUGCACACAUUCUUCAUAGUCUGACUCAUUUGAACUCCUCCUUCCAGGUGUUUAUGAGUUGCACAACCGCAAUACUGAUUAUUGUUAUUAGACAUUUCAGCCUAAAAUGGUGGACUGAUAUCAGAGCUGAUGUGUUUCUUGGUGCAGUAUGAAGAUAAAUUUAAUGCACCCCAUGAAAAUGUAUCAUUUAGACUGACACAAGACAUGAAUAUAGCACACACGUCUGCUUCAUAGAUUUAUAACUUCUGCCACUUUUUCGAUGCAGAGAUUCAUUUAGUUUUAAAUGCAGUAAUACCAAAGGUAUUAUUAUUGUUAUAUUAUUAUUUUCCAACAAAUGUCUAAAAAAAUUACUAGUUAGUGCAAAAUUUAACAUGAGUAAUGUGUUGUUGUUGUUGUUUUUUUCAGACUUAAUCGAGUAUAGAAAACAAAAGGGACAAGGUUUUUCAACAUACAAAACUGACGAGAAUACAGGACAAAAAUGAAAUUAAAGGAUAAAAUGUCCUCAAGACAUGUUUGGUGGUAAAGUUUUCCAUAUUUAAAUAAUAAUAAUAAUAAUAAUAAUAAUAAUAAUAAACUGAAUAGAGUAAUAAAAAAGGAGUAGAAAAUGGAGAAAUAUCCCAAAACAUGUUAAAGUAGAUUAAAAUAAAUAAAUAAAUAAAAAUAAAAAGUUAAUCCCAGUAACCUUGGAAAAAGGCAAACAAACAACAAAAAAAAAACAUCCUUUAAAUUUUUUUAAAAAAAUUUGAAUAGAUAAAAGGGAGUAUAAAAAGUAUAAAAGGG